RNAcentral lists this ribosomal RNA (108 nucleotides) under Acanthosepion pharaonis. Lineage: Eukaryota; Metazoa; Mollusca; Cephalopoda; Sepiida; Sepiidae. The record is from RNAcentral.
UGGUCAUCUCAACUUGAAACACCGAUUUUAUCCGAUCAUCGAAGUUAAGCAACGUUGAACCUUGUUAGUACCUAGAUGCGUGGCCACUCAGGAAUACCAGGUGCUGAA